CUGCUUAGAAAUUUCUUUCGCCAGAUACUGUAAAUCAUCUCUCUCAAGUUCAAAGUUCCACAGAUCUCUAGGGCAGGGGCACAAUGCUGCCAGCCGCUCUGCUAAAGCAUAACAAGAAUCACCUUUGCUCCAGUUCCCAAUAACUCCUUCAUCUCCAUCUGAGACCUCCGCGGCCUGGACUUCUUUUAUCAAAACCAAUCAACAAGGAAGCUCCAAACUUUCCUAUAUCUUUCUGCCUAUUUCUGAGCCCUCCAAAUUGUUCAUACCUCUGCCUGUGUGAUGAUUAAUAGUGAGUGUCAACUUGACUGGAUUGAAGGAUGCAAAGUGUUGAUACUGGGUGUGUUUCUGAGGGUGUUGCCAAAGGACCUUAACAUUUGAGUCAGUGGGCUGGGAAAGGCAGACUGUCUAAUCAGCUGCCAGCAUGGCUAGAAUAUAAAGCAGGCAGAAAAACGUGAAAAGACUAGACUGGUCUAGCCAUCCAGCCUACAUCUCUCUCCUGUGCUGGACCCUUCCUGCCCUCAAAUAUUGCACUUCAAGUUCUUCAGUUUUGGGAUUCAGAUUGGCUUUCCUUGCUCCUCAGCUUGCAGACAACCUAUUGUGGGACCUUGUGACUGUGUGAGUUAAUACUUAGUAACCCCCCCAUAUAAAUAUAUUCUACAGAAUAUAUAUUAUAUAUAAUAUAUUAUGUAUAUUAAUAUAUUAUAUAUAUAUAUUCUAUUAGUUCUGUCCCUGUAGAGAACCCUGACUAAUACAGCCUGUUACCCAGUUCCAAAGUUGCUUCCACAUUUUCAGGUAUCUUAAUAGCAAUACCCUGCUCUACCAGUACCAAUUUGCUGUAUUAGUCCAUUUUCAUACUGCUAUGAAGAAAUACCCAAGGCUGGGUAAUUUAUAAAGAAAAAGAGGUUUAAUGGACUCAGAGUUCCACAUGGCUGGGGAGGCCUCACAAUCAUGGUGGAAGGUGAAGGAGAAGCAAAGGCAUGUCUUACAUGGCAGCAGGCAAGAAAGCAUGUGCAGGGGAACUGUUUUUUAUAAAACCAUCAGAUCUCCUGAGAUUUAUUCGCUAUUACGAGAACAGCAUGGGAAAAACCCAACUCAUGAUUCAAUUAGCUCCCACUGAGUCUCUCCCAUGACACAUAGGGAUUAUGGAAGCUACAAUUCAAGAUGAGAUUUGGGUGGGGGCACAGCCAAACAAUAUAAGUGGGUGACAUACAUCUUUUCAUUUCUACAAGUGAUCCCCUCCCCCUGGAGAACAAUGCCUGUCUGGGUAUAGCAUUUUAAAAUUGCAACUUUUUUUUUUUCAGCAUGUACAGGUCCUUAUACUAAUUUCCAAGUUCCAGUGCUGUAAGCAAGAACUUCAAUGCCCUCUGAUUCUUUCUCUUUUGGUCUAGAAGCUUGAGAAUUAUUUCUUUUAUCUGGAAUUCAGAGAUAUUAUAAGGCUAUGUCUUGGAUGUAUGGUUUUAUUUUUUAAUUAAAACUAAUUAUAUGUAAAGCCUAAUGAGGCCUUUAUGUGCAGAUUAAGCUCUUCAUGCUCAGAUAACUUUUCUUACAUUAUUUGUUUAGUUAUUGCUUUGUCUCUAUCUAUACAUUUCUUUUUCAAAAACAUCUGGCAUUCAGACGAGGCCUGUCAGGUCUACUCUCCAAGACUUUAAUUUUUUGCUCAACAUUUCUGUGUUUGGAUUCUUUUUCCUCCAUAUUUGCUUCAUGUUUUAAGCCAUUUCUUUCAUUUGAUCUUUGGGUCACACGCACUCUCCUUCAAUUCAUCUACAGAAUUUAAAAUCUGAAAACCAGGUUUAAGCCGUACAAAGUCUUUCUAUUUUUAUUUUGUACAUUUUAAAUGACUUUGUCAUUAUGUUUAUGUUAAAGUUGCCAGCUCCUGCCCCAACUGUCCUAUUCUAUCCCAGUGCCCUGUGUUGAGAGCUCUGGCAGCUCUUCCCCUCUAAGGCUACCGAGCCUUCUUACCUGCGCUAUCACUUCCUGUUGUCUGUUUCACCGGAUGCUGCAUGCUUUACCCAGAUCCUCUCUUUAGGGCCAUCAUGUGCACCUUUUGGCUGCUGCCGGCUUCCAGCCAUAUCCCUCAGCUGGAGUUACAUGCAGCAACAAAGAAUUGCUUUGAUCAAAAUUAUGGGAAGCCCAAAGCCAAGAAUUCGCUGGUAUAAGGAAGAUCUGAUCCUCUUGCCUCAAUCUGGGACAACUCUGAAGGGUCAGCCCAAGUUUGGGCUUCCAUAGGAUGUGGCCAGUUGAAACCACAUUGAAGAUGAGAUUUUCCCUCUUCCCUUUCCUGGAUAAUUUUUAUAUUUCUGCCAGCAAUACACAAGGGUUUGAUUUCUUCAUGUUCUCACCAAAAUUUAUUUUGAACUUUCUGAAAUAGCCAUCCCAGUGGGUGUGUGGUAGUGUCUUAUUGUAGUUUUGAUUUGCAUUUCCCUCAUGACUAACAAUGUUGGACAUCUUUGCAUCUACUGUUGGCCAUUAGGAUAUCUUCUCUGGAAAAAUGUCUAAUCAAGUAUUUCAUCCAUUUUUUUUUUUUUUUUUUUUUUUUUGAGACGGAGCCUUGCUCUGUCGCCCAGGCUGGAGUGCAGUGGCACGAUCUCGGCUCACUGCAAGCUCCGCCUCCCGGGUUCAAGCCAUUCUCCUGCCUCAGCCUCCCGAGUAGCUGGGACUACAGGCGCCUGCCACCACGCCCGGCGAGUUUUUUUUGUGUGUGUUUUUAGUAGAGACGGGGUUUCACUGUGGUCUCGAUCUCCUGACCUCGUGAUCCACCUGCCUCGGCCUUCCAAAGUGCUGGGAUUACAGGCGUGAGCCACUGUGCCUGGCCUCUUUUGCCCAUUUUUAAUUGGCUUGUUUUUUUUUUUAGCUGUUGCAUUGUAGAAGGUUUUUAAGUAUAUAUUUGGAAUACCAGGCUCUUGUCUGAUACAAGAUUUAAAAAUACUUUCUGCCAUUCUGUUGGUUGCAUUUUCAUGUUCAUGAUAAUGUCUUUUGAUACACAGCAUUUUUAAUUUUG
This 2998-nucleotide long non-coding RNA is filed under the name Homo sapiens (human). RNAcentral's name for it is "non-protein coding lnc-HS3ST3A1-5:2". The record is from RNAcentral. Lineage: Eukaryota; Metazoa; Chordata; Mammalia; Primates; Hominidae.